This 257-nucleotide unclassified non-coding RNA is filed under the name air metagenome. RNAcentral's name for it is "partial contains small subunit ribosomal RNA, internal transcribed spacer 1, and 5.8S ribosomal RNA". The stretch from base 1 to 46 matches the Rfam family "Eukaryotic small subunit ribosomal RNA", at positions 1786 to 1831 of the family's 1831-position model. The record is from RNAcentral.
AAGUCGUAACAAGGUUUCCGUAGGUGAACCUGCGGAAGGAUCAUUAACGAGUAAACAGGGGAGUUGUAGCUGGCCGCAAGGCAUGUGCACGCUCUCUACUCAAUCCAACCUUACACCUGUGCACCUAUUGUAGGUCGAGUGGCUGGACUUGUUCUGGUCGCUCUUCCUAUGUUUUACACAUACACUUGUAGUCUCAGAAUGUAAUCCGUGUAUAACGCAUUAUAAAACAACUUUCAACAACGGAUCUCUUGGCUCUC